RNAcentral lists this transfer RNA (72 nucleotides) under Stegodyphus mimosarum. It matches the Rfam family "tRNA". From Rfam's summary of the family: Transfer RNA (tRNA) molecules are approximately 80 nucleotides in length. The record is from Rfam by way of RNAcentral. Lineage: Eukaryota; Metazoa; Arthropoda; Arachnida; Araneae; Eresidae.
GCUUUUGUGGUGUAGUGGUUAGCACAUUCGGCUCAUAUUCGAGAGGUCCAGGUUCGAGUCCCAGCGAGGGCA